AGUGAACGCUGGCGGUAGGCCCAACACAUGCAAGUCGAACGGCAGCACAGUAAGAGCUUGCUCUUACGGGUGGCGAGUGGCGGACGGGUGAGGAAUACAUCGGAAUCUACUUUUUCGUGGGGGAUAACGUAGGGAAACUUACGCUAAUACCGCAUACGACCUACGGGUGAAAGCAGGGGAUCUUCGGACCUUGCGCGAUUGAAUGAGCCGAUGUCGGAUUAGCUAGUUGGCGGGGUAAAGGCCCACCAAGGCGACGAUCCGUAGCUGGUCUGAGAGGAUGAUCAGCCACACUGGAACUGAGACACGGUCCAGACUCCUACGGGAGGCAGCAGUGGGGAAUAUUGGACAAUGGGCGCAAGCCUGAUCCAGCCAUACCGCGUGGGUGAAGAAGGCCUUCGGGUUGUAAAGCCCUUUUGUUGGGAAAGAAAAGCAGCAGGUUAAUACCCCGCUGUUCUGACGGUACCCAAAGAAUAAGCGCCGGCUAACUUCGUG
RNAcentral lists this ribosomal RNA (492 nucleotides) under uncultured bacterium. RNAcentral describes it as "partial 16S ribosomal RNA". It matches the Rfam family "Bacterial small subunit ribosomal RNA", at positions 29 to 507 of the family's 1533-position model. The record is from RNAcentral.